RNAcentral lists this ribosomal RNA (253 nucleotides) under uncultured bacterium. RNAcentral describes it as "partial 16S ribosomal RNA". It matches the Rfam family "Bacterial small subunit ribosomal RNA", at positions 524 to 776 of the family's 1533-position model. The record is from RNAcentral.
GACGUAGGGCGCGAGCGUUGUCCGGAAUUAUUGGGCGUAAAGAGCUCGUAGGCGGCUUGUCGCGUCGACUGUGAAAACCCGCGGCUCAACCGCGGGCCUGCAGCCGAUACGGGCAGGCUAGAGUUCGGUAGGGGAGACUGGAAUUCCUGGUGUAGCGGUGAAAUGCGCAGAUAUCAGGAAGAACACCCGUGGCGAAAGCGGCUCUCUGGACUAAUACUGACGCUGAGGUGCGAAAGCGUGGGGAGCAAACAGG